Frieseomelitta varia is the source of this 1050-nucleotide long non-coding RNA. RefSeq lists it as uncharacterized. NCBI's taxonomy places the organism in Eukaryota, Metazoa, Arthropoda, Insecta, Hymenoptera, Apidae. The transcript has 3 exons. The record is from RefSeq and is a predicted model, not a curated record.
AUCGCGGCUGCGCUAUACGUUGUUGCACUGUCCACACUCGACAUUCUCGAUCUCUCGAAGCGUCUCGAAUGCGAUUUCAAAUACACGCGCCCACGUUUAUUGGUCGUUUGAAAUCUUACCGGCUAGACGAGGCGCAGUGGCGUCUGGGUAAAAUAUUGCAACAGCAACAAAUCCGACAUGGCGGCGCGUGAAUACGAGUCGUGAAACGUGCCGCGUAGCGGGGAGAGGAUCUUCGUUGCUCGUCGAAGAGAAGUCAUCCUUUCGUAUUAGAUUUCCACGGUGAUUCAAAUUACUCGCUGAAUCGAGAUACGUUGCUCCGUAACGACGACCUCGACUAACAAUGUUUUUAAACAUACGGACGAGAGAAUUCGCGUUUCACGAACGUUCGAGCCGGCGUUGCGGUCGCCAUCUGCUGGCGUGUCUUUCAAGUAUAUACGUGCCGCGCAAGUGAAUUACGAAUUAUGAAUUGACCACUGCUUGUUUCUGCUCGAAUUUUGCAUGAAACGAACAGGUUUGUCAUACAAGUGUCAACAGUAAUAGCCAAUGGUAACGAACAAGCAUAUUUUGAAUCCAUUUCGUCUCAACAAACUGACGUCAAUUCAAUGCACCUCUCGUAGAUGCUACGCUGCCACCGCACCAUGCAGAAAUUUAAUGCAAGCCAGCAGCGUAGAGUCGGAAAUGGUGGACGUGGCUCCCCGUGGUUUCGCCGCGCGUUUACGGAGCUACCGAUGUAUUUAAUGGCGCAUGAGACAAUUUUUCAAGCACCUAGGAAAGGGAUUCCCGUGCACUAUGAGCUUCAAACCGCGGACGAUUAAUGCCAAGGAUAUUAUCAGCAGGUAUAUUGUCAAUGAAUCUUCGUAAUUAUUGUAAUUUAGAUACGGGACAAGGCGUCUACCGUUGUCAAAACGAAUAGUACAUGAUUUCUUUUAAUAAUGAAUUUUACUGAAAAAUAGUGUGCUUACAUUUUGAUGUUUUGAGAUGAAGUUGUUGGGUGCUAUUGUAACAUGUUAUUGUAACAAUAUUAUUAGAGACAGAAUACAAUAGAUACUA